GACGAACGUUGGCGGCGUGCUUAAUACAUGCAAGUCAACUGAAGCAGUGGUAGCAAUCUCGCUGUGGAGGUGGCGCCCGGGUGAGUAACACGUAGGUAAUCUGCCUUCAGGUCUGGCAUAACUCCGGGAAACCGGGGCUAAUAGCAGAUGAUGCAGCGGCUCGACAUCGAGACAGUUGUUAAAGCUAUGGCGCCUGAAGAUGAGCCUGCGUCUGAUUAGCUAGUUGGCGGGGUAACGGCCCACCAAGGCAACGAUCAGUAGCUGGUCUGAGAGGAUGAUCAGACACACUGGAACUGAGACACGGGCCAGACUCCUACGGGAGGCAGAAGGAAGGAAGAUUGCUCAAUGGGAGAAAUCCUGAAGCAGCAACGCCGCGGGAGGGACGAAGGGCUUUUGCUUGUAAACCUCUGUAGUGAGAGAAAAAAAUCCCAAUCUUUGGGACAUGAUGGUAUCUCAAAAGUAAGCCCCGGCUAACUACGUG
Molecule: ribosomal RNA, 481 nt
Filed under: uncultured bacterium
Lineage: Bacteria
Description: partial 16S ribosomal RNA
Rfam family: Bacterial small subunit ribosomal RNA
Source: RNAcentral